GAUGAACGCUGGCGGCGUGCCUAAUACAUGCAAGUCGAGCGAACAGACGAGGAGCUUGCUCCUCUGACGUUAGCGGCGGACGGGUGAGUAACACGUGGAUAACCUACCUAUAAGACUGGGAUAACUUCGGGAAACCGGAGCUAAUACCGGAUAAUAUAUUGAACCGCAUGGUUCAAUAGUGAAAGACGGUUUUGCUGUCACUUAUAGAUGGAUCCGCGCCGCAUUAGCUAGUUGGUAAGGUAACGGCCUACCAAGGCAACGAUGCGUAGCCGACCUGAGAGGGUGAUCGGCCACACUGGAACUGAGACACGGUCCAGACUCCUACGGGAGGCAGCAGUAGGGAAUCUUCCGCAAUGGGCGAAAGCUUGACGGAGCAACGCCGCGUGAGUGAUGAAGGUCUUCGGAUCGUGAAACUCUGUUAUUAGGGAAGAACAAAUGUGUAAGUAACUAUGCACGUCUUGACGGUACCUAAUCAGAAAGCCACGGCUAACUACGUG
This 497-nucleotide ribosomal RNA is filed under the name uncultured bacterium. Its description in RNAcentral is "partial 16S ribosomal RNA". It matches the Rfam family "Bacterial small subunit ribosomal RNA", at positions 28 to 507 of the family's 1533-position model. The record is from RNAcentral.